GAUAGUUUAAUAAAAAUAAUAAUUUGUGGUGUUAUUGAUGAAAGACUUCAUAUAAGUUAUAA
RNAcentral lists this transfer RNA (62 nucleotides) under Bothropolys sp. SP-2004. RNAcentral describes it as "tRNA-His". The record is from RNAcentral. Lineage: Eukaryota; Metazoa; Arthropoda; Chilopoda; Lithobiomorpha; Ethopolyidae.